GCACAGAGCUGCCUGGCUGUGCCUCUGUGUAGGAGCCAGAGGGGAGACAUGGCGUUGCUCCCGGGAGCUGCUUAAGAAAGACCUUUUCCUACCCUUUGUGGGUAAAAGCCCAAAGGCCAGAGAAAGUCAGGCAAAGCUUUUGAGGGUCCUAUCAGCAUAUGCAAAAUACAAUUCUCAAAUAGACUACAGUCAAGUUUAAAGUAACAGCAAGAAGGGAUGACAGCGAAGGACUGCUGGGUGGAAGACAAAGAUGUAGACAAUAAGUCCUGUGGUUGCUUGGAAGAAUGUGCACGUCUUGACAACUGUAGCUUCCUGAAAAGGCAACAACACACAUAUUUGUAGUAGUUUUGGUAUUUUUAUUGAAUGGAGAAUAAAUCCUGUGAGACCAAUCUUCAUGUCGGCAGACAUAAAUUUUAGUAAUUUACGAAUGGUAUUGGUAAUUCAAGAGUAGUUAUCAAUUUAUAUUGACUAGCAAUCCUUAGUCUCCCUAACACAUAGUUUCUCAAACUGUGUGGUCCAUGGACUUCAUUUUUGUCUUCAGAGACCAGGUGAGUUACAUGGUACUUCUCUUCCUUGUUUUCCGCUGCUUUUACAGGUGUCCAGGCUUCUUUAUAAUGAAGAGCCUGGACACUAGUAAGAGAAGCCAUUCUAUUUGCCUCCAUUAAGGGUGGAAGCUACAAGAGGAAGAGAAAGUGAAGCAGGAGCUGCCUUCAGGAACAGAAGCCGCAAGGCAGAUAGCUGCUGCCUGAAGAGAAAAGGGGACCAGUCAGGAGACUAGAGGGAAAGAGAGUCUGGGUUACAUGUGUUGUGGUGAGGGGCACAGAGACAGGAAAAGGUAUGAACAGAUCAGAUGGAAAGAGUGGGAUAUGAAAUGAAUAUUUCCUUUCCCUAAAAGGACGCAACACUACAUUAGAGAUAGUUAAUAAUAGCUGGAAACAUUACAAAAACUUUCAGUAUAGAUAAGGUUCUAAUACUUAAUUAUAAACAGUUAAAUACUAUAUUUCAACCCCCUGAGAAAUGGGAGACUUCAAAAGACCACUUGCUUAUUUAAUUAUUACUGAAAAGCUAAUGAGUAAUUCUAGAGGGUCCAAAGUUAACAUUUUGAAACUAUAUUCUGAAACUCAAACUUGGUAUAGAAGACAAAUGUGAAUAAAAUAGGAAAGGAUUUAAAUAAAUUAUUUUAGAGCACUGACCAUUUAUUUGGCAUAGGAUAAUUUUCUCCUCCAUAUGUGUUUACAGUAAAAGAAAUGUUAAUUCAGUGGUUAGUGAUACUCUCAUUUAAGUAAAAUCUACAAAGAUGCAUUGGUUGACAGCUGAAUUGAAUGUGGAAUGAAAAGUACUUUUAUCCAUAUUUGGUUGAAAUACUCGAGUACAGCUAUGUUGGUCAAGAAUUUGAACUCUUAUAAUAGAUAAAACAAAAAUGAAAUUACCAAUUGAUCCUUUGAUUGUGUUUUUGGGGCACUCAGAGAAAGAGAGAUCCAUUGGAUAAUACAAAAUUCUGAUAGCAUCAAGGUGUAUUCUUGCAGAAUUUUAGAAAAAGAGGAAGCCCCUGAUAAACUCUUGUUUCAGAAGAGGUUGAUAUAUUCUUAUAAUGGAAAAAGCUUAUAGGUGAUCUGAAACAAGGGGCUAGUAGCCUUUCUCAGAUUAAGCCGCAAUUUCUGGAAUAUAAAAAAGACAAUACAAAAUAAAUAGACCUGGGAAAUACAGACAUUUUGUUUUACUGUAAAACACUUAAUCUUUUUCUUCUGUUCUAGUAUAUAGACAGGAUUAUAAUAUGUAGAACUGAUGUAUGUUAAACUUCAGCUUUUACUACAAGAUUUUUCAAUAUGGUAAUGUAAUUUAAAAUGGAACAAUGAUUUUUCUUAUAUCUACUACAUCUGAAAAACUAUGAAUAAGACAGUUAAAAUAUCUAAAUAUUGAUAUUACUUUCCAUGUAAGCAAUUACUAUAUUAAAGUUCAACACCCAUCAAGUUAUUUGUCUUCACACAUGCAUGUUCACAGGCUGUCUCAUGCAUUAUGUAAGUGUAGGUUGCUAUUUGUCAUGCAUACUCAGGUCACAAUUCAUGCGGUUUAUGAUUUUUUAAUGCACAUUCAUGGAUAUCCCUGCACACAGCUGCACUCAUGCAACAAGUUAAAAUGCAUACACGAAUCAUGUGACAUGCUCUUCUUUACAAGACAUCAAAUCUUGAAAUGGUACUAGCUGCUGUUUGUCUCUUACUGUCCACCUUUAUGGUUUCUUAUUAAAAAUACAAAAUGUAAGACACUAUUUUUUUUCCUGUUAAGGAUUUGUCUGUUUAAGGUCAAGUACACUCAGAAGUACUGUUAAAAUGCCUCUAAUUUAUACUUUUUUUUUCUUACUAGCAUUCAGUUACAUACUAAAAUCUUUCAGCAACUAGUUAAACAUAGCAUACCUAAAUUAUGGCAGCAUCUUGUAAGUAUGACUUCAGUUAGUGCUACUUACAUAUUUAAUUAUAAAUGUUAAAACUUUUAUGAUUUAGACUAAAAAUGUCUGUGUGGGAGCUGAUGUGUUCCUUUUGAAUCCCUUGACCCCUCUCCAAACUAUUCAACAGUGGAUAUCUCCAAUUUACUGAUUUUAGUAUUUGGAAAAACCCCACAAAAGUCUGAUGUUUGAGGCUGGGUUGAAUGGUAAUAGAUAUAUGAAGAUACAUCCUAAAUGUUUGUUAGCAGUAAUGUUACUUCUAGAAAGCUGCUAGACCACCUGGAAGCACUGUUGAUCAGUACCAUUUUAAAAACAAAUUAAACAGUUAUUUGUUAAAUAUGCAGGAAUGCUGAUGUCUUCUUAUUUGUUUCAUAACAUAGGGAUAAUCUAAUAAUUAAUGAGUUAUUACAUGAGAAUUACAAAACCAGAACAGUAAUGUCUGAUUCUGCAACCUCAAGUUACACAUAAGUAGACUCAUUGAAUUCAGUGGGAUUGCUGGCACAAGUACAACUUGUGAAUAAAGGGUGUAGAACUGGGCUCUGCACUUGCAUCAAACAUGACCAUAUUUUAAAAACAUAUACUGAUUCUCAUUUAAAAGGAAUGACACUCUCUGUGUUUGUUAGUUUACUCAGGCUUGUGUACCAUUUAUAUUGUUUAAUAACUUAUGUUUGUUCUAUUGUUAAUCAACAAAACUUACCCUAGUUUAUGAAUAAAUGUCUGCUUUGGGUUUCCUACUAGAAAUGUUACAGGAGCCAAAGGAAUGCUGCCAUUCUAUAUCACAUUAAUAUCUUUAAAUAACUAUAUUUGAAGGAUUCUGUUGAAUGAUUAUAGAUAGUACAAUUAUUUGGUUUCUUUGUAAGGGUUAUAAUUGAAUCUAUAGACUCUACUGCCAGUCACUUCAAUCCCAGAAAGAAAGAAAGAAAGAAAGAAAGAAAAAGUUUCUAAGGGAAGCUUGUUUAUAGCCUGUUUUGGGAAAGAAUCCAUGACUGA
This is a long non-coding RNA of Dermochelys coriacea (leatherback sea turtle), 3430 nucleotides long. RefSeq lists it as uncharacterized. The transcript has 3 exons. The record is from RefSeq and is a predicted model, not a curated record. NCBI's taxonomy places the organism in Eukaryota, Metazoa, Chordata, Testudines, Dermochelyidae.